This 532-nucleotide ribosomal RNA is filed under the name uncultured Glomus. Its description in RNAcentral is "SSU rRNA". It matches the Rfam family "Eukaryotic small subunit ribosomal RNA", at positions 556 to 1089 of the family's 1831-position model. Lineage: Eukaryota; Fungi; Glomeromycota; Glomeromycetes; Glomerales; Glomeraceae. The record is from RNAcentral.
CAAGUCUGGUGCCAGCAGCCGCGGUAAUUCCAGCUCCAAUAGCGUAUAUUAAAGUUGUUGCAGUUAAAAAGCUCGUAGUUGAAUUUCGGGAUCAACACGUCGGUCGUGCCACUGGUAUGAACUGGCGUCGUUGAUUUCUCCUUUCUGAGGAACCAUGAUGUCAUUAAUUUGGUGUGGUGGGAAAUCAGGACUGUUACUUUGAAAAAAUUAGAGUGUUUAAAGCAGGCCUACGCUUGAAUACAUUAGCAUGGAAUAAUGAAAUAGGACGUUCGAACCUAUUUUGUUGGUUUCUAGGAUCAACGUAAUGAUUAAUAGGGAUAGUUGGGGGCAUUAGUAUUCAAUUGUCAGAGGUGAAAUUCUUGGAUUUAUUGAAGACUAACUACUGCGAAAGCAUUUGCCAAGGAUGUUUUCAUUAAUCAAGAACGAAAGUUAGGGGAUCGAAGACGAUCAGAUACCGUCGUAGUCUUAACCAUAAACUAUGCCGACUAGGGAUCGGAUGAUGUUAAUUUUUUAAUGACUCAUUCGGCGCCUU